This 497-nucleotide ribosomal RNA is filed under the name uncultured bacterium. RNAcentral's name for it is "partial 16S ribosomal RNA". It matches the Rfam family "Bacterial small subunit ribosomal RNA", at positions 28 to 507 of the family's 1533-position model. The record is from RNAcentral.
GAUGAACGCUGGCGGCGUGCCUAAUACAUGCAAGUCGAGCGAACAGAUGAGGAGCUUGCUCCUCUGACGUUAGCGGCGGACGGGUGAGUAACACGUGGAUAACCUACCUAUAAGACUGGGAUAACUUCGGGAAACCGGAGCUAAUACCGGAUAAUAUAUUGAACCGCAUGGUUCAAUAGUGAAAGACGGUUUUGCUGUCACUUAUAGAUGGAUCCGCGCCGCAUUAGCUAGUUGGUAAGGUAACGGCUUACCAAGGCGACGAUGCGUAGCCGACCUGAGAGGGUGAUCGGCCACACUGGAACUGAGACACGGUCCAGACUCCUACGGGAGGCUGCAGUAGGGAAUCUUCCGCAAUGGGCGAAAGCCUGACGGAGCAACGCCGCGUGAGUGAUGAAGGUCUUCGGAUCGUAAAACUCUGUUAUUAGGGAAGAACAAAUGUGUAAGUAACUAUGCACGUCUUGACGGUACCUAAUCAGAAAGCCACGGCUAACUACGUG